Molecule: ribosomal RNA, 253 nt
Filed under: uncultured bacterium
Lineage: Bacteria
Description: partial 16S ribosomal RNA
Rfam family: Bacterial small subunit ribosomal RNA
Source: RNAcentral
UACGUAGGGGGCGAGCGUUGUCCGGAAUCAUUGGGCGUAAAGCGCGUGUAGGCGGCUCGGUAAGUCUGCUGUGAAAGUCCAGGGCUCAACCCUGGGAUGCCGGUGGAUACUGUCGAGCUCGAGUCCGGAAGAGGCGAGUGGAAUUCCCGGUGUAGCGGUGAAAUGCGCAGAUAUCGGGAGGAACACCUAUGGCGAAGGCAGCUCGCUGGGACGUUACUGACGCUGAGACGCGAAAGCGUGGGGAGCAAACAGG